GACGAACGCUGGCGGCGUGCUUAACGCAUACAAGUCGAACGGAAAGGCCCUGCUUUUGUGGGGUGCUCGAGUGGCGAACGGGUGAGUAACACGUGAGUAACCUGCCCUUGACUUUGGGAUAACUUCAGGAAACUGGGGCUAAUACCGGAUAGGAGCUCCUGCUGCAUGGUGGGGGUUGGAAAGUUUCGGCGGUUGGGGAUGGACUCGCGGCUUAUCAGCUUGUUGGUGGGGUAGUGGCUUACCAAGGCUUUGACGGGUAGCCGGCCUGAGAGGGUGACCGGCCACAUUGGGACUGAGAUACGGCCCAGACUCCUACGGGAGGCAGCAGUGGGGAAUAUUGCACAAUGGGCGGAAGCCUGAUGCAGCAACGCCGCGUGCGGGAUGACGGCCUUCGGGUUGUAAACCGCUUUCGCCUGUGACGAAGCGUGAGUGACGGUAAUGGGUAAAGAAGCACCGGCUAACUACGUG
RNAcentral lists this ribosomal RNA (468 nucleotides) under uncultured bacterium. RNAcentral describes it as "partial 16S ribosomal RNA". It matches the Rfam family "Bacterial small subunit ribosomal RNA", at positions 28 to 507 of the family's 1533-position model. The record is from RNAcentral.